Molecule: ribosomal RNA, 475 nt
Filed under: uncultured bacterium
Lineage: Bacteria
Description: partial 16S ribosomal RNA
Rfam family: Bacterial small subunit ribosomal RNA
Source: RNAcentral
UAGGGAAUCUUCCACAAUGGACGAAGUCAUGAUGGAGCAACGCCGCGUGAGUGAAGAAGGUUUUCGGAUCGUAAAGCUCUGUUGUUGGUGAAGAAGGAUAGAGGCAGUAACUGGUCUUUAUUUGACGGUAAUCAACCAGAAAGUCACGGCUAACUACGUGCCAGCAGCCGCGGUAAUACGUAGGUGGCAAGCGUUGUCCGGAUUUAUUGGGCGUAAAGCGAGCGCAGGCGGAAUGAUAAGUCUGAUGUGAAAGCCCACGGCUCAACCGUGGAACUGCAUCGGAAACUGUCAUUCUUGAGUGCAGAAGAGGAGAGUGGAACUCCAUGUGUAGCGGUGGAAUGCGUAGAUAUAUGGAAGAACACCAGUGGCGAAGGCGGCUCUCUGGUCUGCAACUGACGCUGAGGCUCGAAAGCAUGGGUAGCGAACAGGAUUAGAUACCCUGGUAGUCCAUGCCGUAAAUGAUGAGCGCUAGGUG